GGUUCGAUCAUGGCUCAGAUUGAACGCUGGCGGGAUACUUUACACAUGCAAGUCGAACGGCAGCACGGACUUCGGUCUGGUGGCGAGUGGCGAACGGGUGAGUAAUGUAUCGGAACGUGCCUAGUAGCGGGGGAUAACUACGCGAAAGCGUAACUUCAAUGCCGCAUACGCCCUUCGGGGGAAAGCGGAGACCUUCCGGGCGAUCGCACCUGCUGAACGUACAGAUAUCAGGGUCAAAAGCUAGUUGGUGGACAACGGCCUCACCAGAAGAGAUCCGACGCCAGGCACGAAAGAGAACCGUCACACCGUUGGUACGGCCCGGAGCUCUGGAGCAGAGAAUUUUGGACAAUGGAAACCCCAGACCAGCCAUCCGCGGCAUGCGAUAAAGGCACCCAGGUGCACAGCUUUGGCAGGAAAGAAGCGGCACGGGAUGGCAUACCGUGUGACAAUGAUGCUUCUGAAGAAGAUAACGCCGGCUAACUACGUGCCAGCAGCCGCGGUAAUACGUAGGGUGCAAGCGUUAAUCGGAAUUACUGGGCGUAAAGCGUGCGCAGCGGUUCGGAAAGAAAGAUGUGAAAUCUCAGAGCUUAACUUUGGAACUGCAUUUUUAACUACUCGACUAGAAAUUGUGUCCAGAGGAGGUGGAAUUCCGCGUGUAGCAGUGAAAUGCGUAGAUAUGCGGAGGAACACCGAUGGCGAAGGCAGCCUCUGAGAUAACGCAGCGCUCAUGCACGAAAACGUGGGGGGCAAACAGGAUUAGAUACCCUGGUAGUCCACGCCCUAAACGAUGUCAACUAGCUGUUGGGACGCUUCGGGCCUUGGUAGCGCAGCUAACGCGUGAAGUUGACCGCCUGGGAAAUGCAGGGUCGCAAGAUUAAAACUCAAAGGAAUUGACGGGGACCCGCACAAGCGGUGGAUGAUGUGGAUUAAUUCGAUGCAACGCGAAAACCUUACCUACCCUUGACGUAUCUGGAAUCCCGAAGAGAUUUGGGAAUUGCUCGCAAGAGAACCGGAACACAGGUGCUGCAUGGCUGUCGUCAGCUCGUGUCGUGAGAUGUUGGGUUAAGUCCCACCAACGAGCGCAACCUUGUCAUUAGUUGCUACGAAAGGGCACUCUAUUAGGACUGCCGGUGACAAACCGGAGGAAGGUGGGGAUGACGUCAAGUCCUCAUGGCCCUUAUGGGUAGGGCUUCACACGUCAUACAAUGGUCGGGACAGAGGGUCGCCAACCCGCGAGGAGCCAAUCCCAGAAACCGAUCGUAGUCCGGAUCGCAGUCUGCAACUCGACUGCGUGAAGUCGGAAUCGCUGGCAAUCGCGGAUCAGCAUGUCGCGGUGAAUACGUUCCCGGGUCUGUACACACCGCCCGUCACACCAUGGGAGUGGGUUUUACCAGAAGUAAUUUAGCCUAACCGUAAGGAGGGCGAUUACCACGGUAGGAUUCAUGACUGAGGUGAAGUCGUAGCUGGUAGCCCUGUUACU
This 1480-nucleotide ribosomal RNA is filed under the name uncultured Bordetella sp. RNAcentral describes it as "partial 16S-23S ribosomal RNA intergenic spacer". It matches the Rfam family "Bacterial small subunit ribosomal RNA". The record is from RNAcentral. Lineage: Bacteria; Pseudomonadati; Pseudomonadota; Betaproteobacteria; Burkholderiales; Alcaligenaceae.